Molecule: long non-coding RNA, 767 nt
Organism: Mytilus californianus (California mussel)
Lineage: Eukaryota; Metazoa; Mollusca; Bivalvia; Mytilida; Mytilidae
Exons: 12
Source: RefSeq, a predicted model, not a curated record
CGAUUCAAUAGGCUACGAAUUGAAAUACUUUAAACCGUUCGCAAGUCAACACUGGUAUUGCAGGUUCAUUUCUUCCUGAUUCAUGGAAAUAAAGUAUGUGACUAUUGAUCAGCGGUGUACCACUGUACCUUGUUUUCAUUAACAGCAAGGUUUUAUGGAUCUUAAUCAGAGCCUUUAUUGUGCAAUUCUAAAAGGAGAUGUCUCAGAAGUUCAAACGUUAGUAGAAUGAGGCGCCUCCGUAAACAUAACGUCAUAUCCUGACAAUUGGAGUCCACUGCAUCAUGCAGCAUUAUUGAAUCGUCCAGACGUUAUACAAUUACUUAUAAAAGAAAAUGCAGAUGUGAACCUUGUUGAUACAAAUGGUAGGAGACCAUUUGAAGUAUCUGUCAAUUAUAGACCACAGAAUCAUAGAAAAAGAGUUAACUCAGAAUGCCAAGAUUCCUCAGAUGAUGAUUUUGGAAUUCGGACGCUGACAGCAAGGCGCAAAGAUUCCUUAGCUGAUAUUUUUAGAAAUUGGACUCUGCCAGUAACGGAUUGGAGACCGUUUGCCGUACCUGUCAAUCAUACGCAAUAUAUUCAUAGAACUAGUGUUAACUCCGAGUGCGAGGAUUUCUAUUAUGAUGAUUCUGGAAUUUCGACACUGACAUCAACGACAAACGAACUUAGGAACGCACUAAGUUUAAAUGAUACAUAUAACAGUACGACAAGUGAUGACAAAAAAAGAAGUUUUCAAGAUAUCAAAAAGUCUAUUGAGAAAGAAAAGCCAA